GUGACUUAGGGUGACCAGCCAUUCUGGUUUGUGUGGGACUGAGGAAUUUGCUGGGAUAUGUCAGUUCCAGGCCAACCAGGCUGGUUGGUCUCCCUGAAAC
Callithrix jacchus (white-tufted-ear marmoset) is the source of this 100-nucleotide microRNA precursor. Ensembl annotates it as cja-mir-584. Its record names the gene cja-mir-584. The record is from Ensembl. Lineage: Eukaryota; Metazoa; Chordata; Mammalia; Primates; Cebidae.